Molecule: transfer RNA, 77 nt
Filed under: Parabacteroides distasonis
Lineage: Bacteria; Pseudomonadati; Bacteroidota; Bacteroidia; Bacteroidales; Tannerellaceae
Description: tRNA-Phe
Rfam family: tRNA
About the family: Transfer RNA (tRNA) molecules are approximately 80 nucleotides in length. Their secondary structure includes four short double-helical elements and three loops (D, anti-codon, and T loops).
Source: RNAcentral
GGUGCCAUAGCUCAGUUGGUAGAGCAAAGGACUGAAAAUCCUUGUGUCCCCCGGUUCGAUUCCUGGUGGCACCACCA